Molecule: ribosomal RNA, 706 nt
Filed under: Enterobacter sp.
Lineage: Bacteria; Pseudomonadati; Pseudomonadota; Gammaproteobacteria; Enterobacterales; Enterobacteriaceae
Description: bacterial SSU rRNA
Rfam family: Bacterial small subunit ribosomal RNA
Source: RNAcentral
UGCAGUCGACGGUAACAGGAAGCAGCUUGCGGCUUCGCUGACGAGUGGCGGACGGGUGAGUAAUGUCUGGGAAACUGCCUGAUGGAGGGGGAUAACUACUGGAAACGGUAGCUAAUACCGCAUAACGUCGCAAGACCAAAGAGGGGGACCUUCGGGCCUCUUGCCAUCGGAUGUGCCCAGAUGGGAUUAGCUAGUAGGUGGGGUAACGGCUCACCUAGGCGACGAUCCCUAGCUGGUCUGAGAGGAUGACCAGCCACACUGGAACUGAGACACGGUCCAGACUCCUACGGGAGGCAGCAGUGGGGAAUAUUGCACAAUGGGCGCAAGCCUGAUGCAGCCAUGCCGCGUGUAUGAAGAAGGCCUUCGGGUUGUAAAGUACUUUCAGCGGGGAGGAAGGUGUUGAGGUUAAUAACCUCAGCAAUUGACGUUACCCGCAGAAGAAGCACCGGCUAACUCCGUGCCAGCAGCCGCGGUAAUACGGAGGGUGCAAGCGUUAAUCGGAAUUACUGGGCGUAAAGCGCACGCAGGCGGUCUGUCAAGUCGGAUGUGAAAUCCCCGGGCUCAACCUGGGAACUGCAUUCGAAACUGGCAGGCUAGAGUCUUGUAGAGGGGGGUAGAAUUCCAGGUGUAGCGUGAAAUGCGUAGAGAUCUGGAGGAAUACCGGUGGCGAAGGCGGCCCCCUGGACAAAGACUGACGCUCAGGUGC